GCGGUCCCAGGGCACCAGGGCUCCUGGGCUGAGGCCGGGCAGGGGUGGCCAACGCACACUCUCUCCUCCUGUCCCCUCUCCAGGACCGCUCAGGAAGUGGCAGCGAAGAAGACUGAGCCCCGACAUUCCAGUCUCGACCCCGAGCCCCUCGUUCCAGAGCCGAGACGGCAUAGGCCUUAGCAGUAACGGGUAGCAGCAGACGUAGUUUCAGACUUGGAGUAAAACUGUAUAAACAAAAGAAUCUUCCAUAUUUAUACAGCAGAGAAGCUGUAGGACUGUUUGUGACUGGCCCUGUCCUGGCAUCAGUAGCAUCUGUAACAGCAUUAACUGUCUUAAAGAGAGAGAGAGAGAAUUCCGAAUUGGGGAACACACGAUACCUGUUUUUCUUUUCCGUUGCUGGCAGUACUGUUGCGCCGCAGUUUGGAGUCACUGUAGUUAAGUGUGGAUGCAUGUGCGUCACCGUCCACUCCUCGUACUGUAUUUUAUUGGACAGGUCAGACUCGCCGGGGGCCCGGCGAGGGUAUGUCAGUGUCACUGGAUGUCAAACAGUAAUAAAUUAAACCAACAAC
Molecule: small RNA, 569 nt
Filed under: Pan troglodytes (chimpanzee)
Lineage: Eukaryota; Metazoa; Chordata; Mammalia; Primates; Hominidae
Description: processed transcript
Source: RNAcentral